This 133-nucleotide transfer-messenger RNA is filed under the name Planctomycetaceae bacterium. RNAcentral describes it as "partial transfer-messenger RNA". It matches the Rfam family "transfer-messenger RNA", at positions 1 to 136 of the family's 374-position model. From Rfam's summary of the family: Bacterial tmRNA, also known as 10Sa RNA or SsrA, is named for its dual tRNA and mRNA-like properties. The record is from RNAcentral. Lineage: Bacteria; Pseudomonadati; Planctomycetota; Planctomycetia; Planctomycetales; Planctomycetaceae.
GGGGGCGAUCGGCUUCGACUGGGUCACCGUAGGUUGAGGUGGCGUGCCGUGGUUGGUCAGUUGGCCACGUUAAAAGCUGACCACAAACUAAUUGCCAAUAAGCAAUUCUCAAUGGCUGCCUAACAUCGGCAGU